Molecule: ribosomal RNA, 399 nt
Filed under: Aeromonas salmonicida subsp. salmonicida 01-B526
Lineage: Bacteria; Pseudomonadati; Pseudomonadota; Gammaproteobacteria; Aeromonadales; Aeromonadaceae
Description: bacterial SSU rRNA
Rfam family: Bacterial small subunit ribosomal RNA
Source: RNAcentral
GUCAGUGGCAGACGGGUGAGUAACACGUGGGAACGUGCCCUUCGGUUCGGAAUAACUCAGGGAAACUUGAGCUAAUACCGGAUACGCCCUUUUGGGGAAAGGUUUACUGCCGAAGGAUCGGCCCGCGUCUGAUUAGCUUGUUGGUGGGGUAACGGCCUACCAAGGCGACGAUCAGUAGCUGGUCUGAGAGGAUGAUCAGCCACACUGGGACUGAGACACGGCCCAGACUCCUACGGGAGGCAGCAGUGGGGAAUAUUGGACAAUGGGCGCAAGCCUGAUCCAGCCAUGCCGCGUGAGUGAUGAAGGCCUUAGGGUUGUAAAGCUCUUUUGUCCGGGACGAUAAUGACGGUACCGGAAGAAUAAGCCCCGGCUAACUUCGUGCCAGCAGCCGCGGUAAUU